GCGGAAUCUCAGCGCCCCACUUCCGGCUCCGCCCCUGAGGCCGGCGGAGCCACGCUCGGCCCGCCUCCACGUCCCUAGCGGGAAGGCCUCGCUCAGGCACCACCCUUCGGAGAGGCGGGUCUAACCUUCGGGCCCCGCCCCUUGCACGUGGGCCAGCCAAUCAGUGCUAGUCCGUGGGUCUCGUCCCCUUCUUCCGGGAGUGGCUUCGCCCACAGGGGCCUUCUCUCUUCAGCCACGCCCCCGCGUCUUAUUUGCAUAAGGUGGCGGAUUGGUCCGCCGAGAAGGACUCGCUCAGUUUAGCGGGCUCUCCCCGCCCUCGCAGACUCCUCAUCUGGGUGGAGUGUGGGCUGAGUCCGCUGGUCGUUUGCUUUGCUUCUCUUUUCCAGAUGUUGCGGAACGAUUUCCUGUUGGUGCGCUGGUCCAGGUUUUAUAAUUGCUUGCAUCAUACACAAACUUUUGCAGGUAUGCCAAGCAUACGUAACUUCAGUAUUGAAAUGUUUGAGGACCUGGUCCCUGCCCACUGCCACCGGCAACCUAGCACUAGGAAGACCGGAGCACCAGGAUCGUGAGAACAGAAAACAAAAUAACGACAACAAAAUAAACAAGUAAAUAACGAAAAACAGUGUUAAAAACGUCACCUGCAACCUCACCGUUUUAGCACCUAAAAGCAAUGUUGGGGUACUUUUAAGUCACUUCGUUGGGAACAUUUCCCCUUAUCUAAGCAAUAGAGAUGGAUUUAGUAAGCUUCUAGGGGUAUAUUAAAGGUUCUGAAGUUACUUGGUGUGCAGUUGCACGCUCUUGUUUGUUUUUACGCUUUAUCAUUGCCCACUAGGCAAGUGUGUUAGUCAUCUUGUCAUGGGGAAGUUAUCUUAUUGGAGGCCAAAUGGCUAUUCCCAGAAUGGAAUUCUAACGUGUAGCAGCAUGUGCGAAAACAUAGGAGAUCGUGGAUGAGGAGCUCCAGAUAGAGCGCCACGCCAAAAAUGAUUACACGGACACCAUGGUGACACUGCAAAUGUAGAUUCAAAUGACCAGAGGACCAAAGGCAAGCUUGGGAACCCGGAUCGGUAUACAAAACACAGGAGCCAGGAACGGCUUACAGCCACGUCCACGUAGUUGGAUCAGAGCAUAGGAUUCUUGGUUUUUACAUUAUGUUACAUGUCUUUUUUUUAUUUUUCACGCCGAUGGGUGGUACGAUAGUCUCUUCCUAUGGCUUAGUCAUCCAGCAUCUUGCUAUGCCCAAUUUGCAUAAUCAUUUGCCCUUCCAUAGAAGAAGCAUUUGUCGAAUGCCAGCUGCUUGACUGCACCCCAGACAUUCUUCUAGGUUUUGAUGAUAUUACCCAGUCUCAAGAUCAAAAGAUUGGACACAGUUGUCAGUACUUGGGAGGCCAAGAUCAGACUGUCCAAGUUCAAGGGCAAGACUGUAAUUGCUUCAGGAAAACGUGCCUGGCCAUCCUUUGCAUUAAGUACCUCUUCCCAACCACGAGCAUGAAACUGCAUUGCCGUCUCAACUUGUAAGUGUGCCUGUGUCCUACUCUGAAACACGAGAUACCCCAUCUGAGUACUGUAGACACAAUUUAGAAGCUGCAAACCCAAGGCAGUGGGAUUUUAGCCUAUGAUGCUGGGACAGUGAUGAAACUGCUCAACAAGUUUCUCAGAGUGUCUCCUCGUGGGUAAGGGACACAACACAUGAGUGUGUUUUCAAAUAGGAUCAAUUUCUGAGGCUCCCGUGGAUGUCCAACGUAGCACACCAGUAGCUGAGAUGUGUUCCGAGAACAAUUAGUAGCAAUCAGUAAACGGAGUUUUAUAGGAAUAUGGGGGAGGGAAGAAUCAAUCAUUUACAGGUGAUAAGAUGUGAGACAAACGACAUCUUAAAAGCAAAGCUUUAAGCUGAGUGGCAGGAUUUUAUCAGAGGAGCCUUAACUACUUAAUGAUUUAUCCCGAACAACACAUUUAAUUCCAGGUGAUCGUGAACUAGAAAUUUCUUGUAAAUAGAAAAUGAAAGUGA
This is a long non-coding RNA of Mesocricetus auratus (golden hamster), 2005 nucleotides long. RefSeq lists it as uncharacterized. The record is from RefSeq and is a predicted model, not a curated record. The transcript is spliced from 3 exons. NCBI's taxonomy places the organism in Eukaryota, Metazoa, Chordata, Mammalia, Rodentia, Cricetidae.